Molecule: ribosomal RNA, 356 nt
Filed under: uncultured Atopobium sp.
Lineage: Bacteria; Bacillati; Actinomycetota; Coriobacteriia; Coriobacteriales; Atopobiaceae
Description: bacterial SSU rRNA
Rfam family: Bacterial small subunit ribosomal RNA
Source: RNAcentral
AGGUUAAUACCGGAUUACUCCAAUAUUUUGUCGCAUGGCGAAUAUGGGAAAGCUCCGGCGGCAAAGGAUGGGCCCGCGGCCUGUUAGCUAGUUGGUGGGGUAGUGGCCUACCAAGGCAAUGAUGGUAGCCGGGUUGAGAGACCGACCGGCCAGAUUGGGACUGAGACACGGCCCAGACUCCUACGGGAGGCAGCAGUGGGGAAUCUUGCACAAUGGGCGAAAGCCUGAUGCAGCGACGCCGCGUGCGGGAUGAAGGCCUUCGGGUUGUAAACCGCUUUCAGCAGGGACGAGGCCGCAAGGUGACGGUACCUGCAGAAGAAGCCCCGGCUAACUACGUGCCAGCAGCCGCGGUAAAU